AUUGAACGCUGGCGGCAUGCCUUACACAUGCAAGUCGAACGGCAGCACGGGAGCAAUCCUGGUGGCGAGUGGCGAACGGGUGAGUAAUAUAUCGGAACGUGCCCAGUCGUGGGGGAUAACGUAGCGAAAGCUACGCUAAUACCGCAUACGAUCUAUGGAUGAAAGCGGGGGAUCGCAAGACCUCGCGCGAUUGGAGCGGCCGAUAUCAGAUUAGGUAGUUGGUGAGGUAAAGGCUCACCAAGGCGACGAUCCGUAACUGGUCUGAGAGGAUGAUCAGUCACACUGGAACUGAGACACGGUCCAGACUCCUACGGGAGGCAGCAGUGGGGAAUAUUGGACAAUGGGCGAAAGCCUGAUCCAGCCAUGCCGCGUGUGUGAAGAAGGUCUUCGGAUUGUAAAGCACCUUAAGUUGGGAGGAAGGGUAGUAACCUAAUACGUUGCUACUUUGACGUUACCGACAGAAUAAGCACCGGCUAACUUCGUG
RNAcentral lists this ribosomal RNA (484 nucleotides) under uncultured bacterium. RNAcentral's name for it is "bacterial SSU rRNA". It matches the Rfam family "Bacterial small subunit ribosomal RNA", at positions 30 to 507 of the family's 1533-position model. The record is from RNAcentral.